This 53-nucleotide transfer RNA is filed under the name Contracaecum osculatum. RNAcentral's name for it is "tRNA-Ser". Lineage: Eukaryota; Metazoa; Nematoda; Chromadorea; Rhabditida; Anisakidae. RNAcentral also lists the same sequence under 2 other names. The record is from RNAcentral.
GAACUAUUUUUUUAUGUUUUGAAAACAUAAGUUGGAUAUUUUUCCGUAGUUUU